AAGGGCCAUUAACCCUUUCUCUGCCGGGCACACUCAGUCCCCACGCCCCACACCUAUUGUCUCCUGUGCUAGAAGCUUUGCAGAAAACCUGGAAAGUAUUUGCCAAGUCCUAAUUGCUGAAUAUAAUGAAUUGGAACUAGAUGCGAAAAUAGAGCAGGACCUCUCCCCUUGAUGAGUUUUUAUUCCAGCCAUAUAAUUCUCAAUAAAACUUUUCCUGGGCUGGAUAGCAAAGGACACCUUUGGUUACCUGAAUGAACAGGUACAGGGGAAAUUAUUUGGGGGAGGGAAAAAGGAGAGAAAAGCAAGGAGAGAGAGUGUGAGUGUAAGAGAAAGCGAAGAAGCCACUCUUGAGAAAAGCUUGCCAUAAAGGAGCUAAACCCACCUGAAAUUCCUACCCACGGACACCCCUUCUCACUUCAGACUCACAUCCCCACUCAAAAUGAGAAAAUUAGAAAAGGAGGAUGGAGGACGAGCACACCAAAAAGGGAUAAAAAGAGAGAAAAGGGGAGGAAAAAAAACCUACCUGCGAAGUCUUGUUUGUAGUUUUGGCCAGAAAUGGUGAGAAGAAAAAGCAUGAAGAAGCCGCGAAGUGUGGGGGAGAAAAAGGUGGAAGCGAAGAAACAGCUCCCGGAGCAAACUGUACAAAAACCUCGCCAAGAGUGUCGGGAGGCAGGACCGUUAUUCCUGCAGAGCAGGAGAGAGACGAGAGACCCUGAAACACGCGCCACCUAUCUUUGUGGGGAGGGAUAAUUGAAGCGCCCUGAGCGUGAGCAUCAUGUGAAAACGUGAUCGCCAAGUUUCUCUCUGGGAAAGGAUCUGGGAUAGAUUAUACCUUGAAGUCUCCGCAAACGCUUUAGUGGAAGA
Molecule: long non-coding RNA, 864 nt
Filed under: Homo sapiens (human)
Lineage: Eukaryota; Metazoa; Chordata; Mammalia; Primates; Hominidae
Description: non-protein coding ZEB2-AS1:26
Rfam family: ZEB2 antisense RNA 1 conserved region 1 (bases 1-94)
Source: RNAcentral